CAUAUACGCUACCGGCAUCUGCCCAGGUAAUGCUACUGCUCCGGUGACGAUGUCCGAUCAAAGAGACACCAUCUGCCCAGGGAAAGUGUUUGCACCUUGGAAUUGAUGAUUGUAGACAAGAUGUUGGUAAAACAGAUAUCAAUUCAAGAUUUGCUUCCAAAGGACCAAUACAUAAAUAUUACUUAAUAACAUAGCGAUGAGCAGCGAAGUCGAUCUCAGAUAUAUCCACUGUUUUGUUGAACCUAAACUGCCCAAGAUCUUUAUAUGAUUUGAGUUUGGAGCCUUCAAUGACCACUGUGGAAUUUAAGAUGAUGUCAAGAAUUAACAACUAGUGCUUAGCUACAUAUUCCUCCCAUCCUUUCCCUCCAAGAUAUUAUCCCUUCUUCUCACAAACGGCAGUGACCGGUGAGGCUCUUCAAUGAAUUCUUUUUUUGGGCGACUUAAAUAAGGGAUAUCAAUGUCUCAGACUCCUCCAUUCUUGGAUAUCCAAGACUGCAUUUGGUGUUCCAAACAAUUCACACUUUGGCACCCCAAGAUUUGAUUCCUAUUCCUUUGGCCAACCAGCAGUAUCCAGGUCAGGGAGCAAAGGUUUACUUUAGUGUCCGUUUUCUCAAGUAUUGGAGCAGAUGAUAUAAGAUUAUAUAAUGUUCAGUGUGCAUUACUAUAUGCUCUACAUUGAUCUGAAGUCUAUGUUGCUUUUUGUUAAAUAUUAGUACCAAGUACUAUUUGUUCUUAUUUUAUAUUGUUGGAUAUCCUAAGUGUUUAAUCUAAGAUCAAAUUUGCAAACCUGGAAACGAAAGUACAACACCUUUGCUCAAGAGCUCUGGUUUUGGAAAGUCUGCAUUUGGUAUUAAUCGGAAAGGAAAGUAGAAUAGCAUCAUACAUUGCAACUCCAGAGCUAGAUAGCACCAGACCCGGCAGUGCAAACAUUCAAUCCAUUUGUGGAAUGCAGACUUAUCAAGAUAAAAGCCAGGAAGAGUUGAGGUUUGAGGACUACCAGUUAGGUGAUAAGGGUAUCCUUUACUGUUCUCAUAUAUUAACAACAUACUUUUUAAUUUCCCCACUUCUGUGCAUUCUUGAUAACUGAAUCUGGGCAUGUUCCUCUCUUCUUUUUCUUUUUUGGUUCUAUGUUUAUGCUUCUUUGUGGGUCUCAUGUGUUGGUUCUAGUUAGUUGAUAUAUAGUUUAUGUGGUUUUAUUUAUCCUUCUCCAUAUCCAUGAUAUAUACUUGGGAACAAACAUGAGGAUUUGUUUCAAUAAAUUGAGAACACUUUUUACUUUCAGCAAUUUCCCAUGUUUAUUAUCGCGAAGAGUUCUUGGUAUUAUACUCUCUCCUUUUCAAUUUGUUUUUCUGGUUUUGAAUUGCUGCGGAGUUUAGGAAAGUAAGGAAUACUUUUGAAAUUUUGUGGUCUUGGACGAAAGAUAUAUAGCAUAUACUGAAAUGUCUUUUAAUCUUUUGGUCUUAAUCGUGCCAUGUGAAAGUUGGAAUUAUAGAGUUUCCAAAACAGGAUAGAAGCAUUCUUGUUUAAACGAACUAAAAAGAAAAGUUAGACAAACAAAUUAAAACGGAAGAGGUACGUAGACAAUCAUAAAUGACCAGGUGGACAGAUAGAUAGUGUGCAUUCAUAUUACUCUGGAAUACUAGUAUUCUUCUUAUUAAACUGCCCUUUGAAAAAAACUAUCCUUAGACUUCUAACAAUAAAAGUUUUAAAGCUUGGUGCAAUCUUUCGAAGUCCAAGUAACUUAAUUAAAAAUUUGACAACCUGUUGUCACGAUAUUUAUUCAUCUUAUGUGGAUUCAGAUUCUGCUUCUUCAAAUAUGUUAGUGCUACCUUUAUAUGUACACAUCUUCCUGUAAUUAAGUUGAUUAAACGAAUUCUUUGGCUCUAUCCAAGUAGACUCUGAAGAAAGACCACUUAAGCUAUUGCAUGGGAAUGAUCUACAGAUACUCUUUGAAUAUGUUAUUCCCAUGAUUUCUCUGCCAAUUGGAUUAAGUACAGCUUUCUUUCUUUCCUGUGGUCCAGGUGAGGAUUGACAUAUAUAGAUGAUGCACUUAAUACUGCCAAUUUAAUGUAAGGAGAGAUCAUAUUUACUUUUCUAGAGCAGCGAGGCGGUUUUGGAAUUGGUUGAAAAGCUAAAUCUGCUCUUUGUGAAAGUAGCUAUGCACAUUGAGCUGUGUAUUCUUCUCCAUAAAUGGACAUUAGCCUUUAAUGCAGCACCGAAUGCUACAUCUGGUCAAACACAAAACAUAUACUGACUUCAAGGAAGUUUUAUGUUGUGCUUGAUUGGUGGGAAAUCACAGCUGUUAUCUUCUUCUUAGUUGGGAAAAACUUGGUCCAUAUAGUUUUGCUUCUUAUUCAACCAAUGAUCUAAAUGAAACUUACAAGAUGACUGAUUUAUUACUCCAAAAUAGUGUUUUUAGUUUACACUUUUA
This is an RNA transcript of Solanum dulcamara, 2431 nucleotides long. RefSeq lists it as uncharacterized. NCBI's taxonomy places the organism in Eukaryota, Viridiplantae, Streptophyta, Magnoliopsida, Solanales, Solanaceae. The transcript is spliced from 6 exons. The record is from RefSeq and is a predicted model, not a curated record.